RNAcentral lists this ribosomal RNA (260 nucleotides) under Rhizobium sp. USDA 3394. Its description in RNAcentral is "partial 16S ribosomal RNA". It matches the Rfam family "Bacterial small subunit ribosomal RNA", at positions 54 to 344 of the family's 1533-position model. The record is from RNAcentral. Lineage: Bacteria; Pseudomonadati; Pseudomonadota; Alphaproteobacteria; Hyphomicrobiales; Rhizobiaceae.
CAUNCAAGUCGAGCGCCCCGCAAGGGGAGCGGCAGACGGGUGAGUAACGCGUGGGAAUCUACCCAUCCCUACGGAACAACUCCGGGAAACUGGAGCUAAUACCGUAUACGCCCUUCGGGGGAAAGAUUUAUCGGGGAUGGAUGAGCCCGCGUUGGAUUAGCUAGUUGGUGGGGUAAAGGCCUACCAAGGCGACGAUCCAUAGCUGGUCUGAGAGGAUGAUCAGCCACAUUGGGACUGAGACACGGCCCAAACUCCUACGG